UUUUUAUCUGCUUUUU
RNAcentral lists this small RNA (16 nucleotides) under Arabidopsis thaliana (thale cress). RNAcentral describes it as "ATSL017470". The record is from RNAcentral. Lineage: Eukaryota; Viridiplantae; Streptophyta; Magnoliopsida; Brassicales; Brassicaceae.